GAGUUAGCAAUGAUUAUAAAAAUAAUUCUUUAUUCCGACUUGCUUAAUUUAAUCAUAACAAACUUUUUAUUACAAUCAUAGAAUCUGAGUUGC
This 93-nucleotide small nucleolar RNA is filed under the name Theobroma cacao (cacao). Its description in RNAcentral is "Small nucleolar RNA snoR8a". It matches the Rfam family "Small nucleolar RNA snoR8a". The record is from Rfam by way of RNAcentral. Lineage: Eukaryota; Viridiplantae; Streptophyta; Magnoliopsida; Malvales; Malvaceae.